Molecule: ribosomal RNA, 253 nt
Filed under: uncultured bacterium
Lineage: Bacteria
Description: partial 16S ribosomal RNA
Rfam family: Bacterial small subunit ribosomal RNA
Source: RNAcentral
UACAGAGGGGGCAAGCGUUGUUCGGAAUUACUGGGCGUAAAGGGCGCGUAGGCGGCCUGCUAAGUCGAACGUGAAAUCCCCGAGCUCAACUCGGGAACUGCGUCCGAUACUGGCAGGCUUGAAUGCGGGAGAGGGAAGCGGAAUUCCUGGUGUAGAGGUGAAAUUCGUAGAUAUCAGGAGGAACACCGGUGGCGAAAGCGGCUUCCUGGCCCGACAUUGACGCUCAUGUACGAGAGCGUGGGGAGCAAACAGG